Vigna unguiculata (cowpea) is the source of this 1011-nucleotide RNA transcript. RefSeq lists it as uncharacterized. The record is from RefSeq and is a predicted model, not a curated record. Lineage: Eukaryota; Viridiplantae; Streptophyta; Magnoliopsida; Fabales; Fabaceae.
AGUGAUGUUGAUGCUGGAAUAUGUUGUUACCGUUUCAAUUGUGCUAUUAUUAAAUGGUAAUAUUUAUAGUUUUGUUUGUUUCUAAAAUCCAAUUUUUUAAUAUGUUGUUCUUGACUUUUUGGGCACUUCUUUUUCUUCUUCCUCAAGGACGUUUGCCACUACUAUUUUUAAAGUUGGAUAAGAAGAACUAAUAAGCCAGUCUAAUAAAAAUAACAAAGAAGAGGUUUUGAACCCAGAAAAAGAAAUAUUGUGAAACAAAAGUUACCCAAAAACAUGUAAGUUUCUAUUCUCAAUCUUAAGCUUUUACUCUCAAUCUUUAGUCCAAGUAUUUCUUCAACAUUAUACCAUAAUAAUGGCAAUGCUUCAGUUUUCUAUGUUACCUUUCUAAUUCUUCAUUUUCUUUCUCAUCUUCUUUUCUUUGGUGGGUUCUAUAAAACAACACUGUGUAAAUUAAGAUCGAAAGGGCCAAUUUGUAGUUAAGGGUAAAUACUUCCCUAUGACCAUCAAGAGGUAAAGUUUUUUCAUCCUGAAAGUAAUAGUUUACAUAUACAUUAUACUUUUUGGUAUUUUCUAAUGGUUGAUUCGGUUCCAUUCCCAGGUUAAAGAUUAUAUUAAUAUUUUUAGUCUGAGGAUUUGUGUUUGGUUGUUUUUUGGUGUUGGGUUUUUGAAAGAUGGGCAUGACUAAUAAACUCACCCUUGCUUAAGAUGCACAUAAUUCAUUAAAAAAUGCUUGAGACAUGGAUGCUAUAUUGGUGGUCAUGAAGUUGAUCAAACCAUUUAGUAGAAAGUUGGAUAUCAUUGUGUUUAAACUUUGGUAGGACAAUUGUUGACGAUACAAAUUAUCUCAUCUAUGCAUUUUUAUGGUAUGGAAAAUGUUGCUUUGGUUAUGUACCAACAAAUAGUUGGCACAAACGCACACUUAAUUGAAAUUAAAUUAAUUGUUCUGUCCACCAUUAUUUGUAUGCACAUAACUUUCUUUAAUGUGGAAUAUAUAACCAUUUUUCUCUGACC